Molecule: long non-coding RNA, 967 nt
Organism: Gopherus flavomarginatus (Mexican gopher tortoise)
Lineage: Eukaryota; Metazoa; Chordata; Testudines; Testudinidae
Exons: 2
Source: RefSeq, a predicted model, not a curated record
UCUCACUUUAACCCAAAGACUCUUCCACAGGUUAAAGUGUUAUGGGUUCUUUCCCAUGUUGGGAGAGUUGCACAGGUUAUAACCAUCAUAGAAGUUGUGUUUGCCCAGAAAGCUUUUGCUGUCAGUCCCCCAGGACUAGAUUCUUGGAGGCUACUGUUAGAGCAGUCUCAGUAGAUGGACUCUGGCCCUGAAAUCACUUUCUGUGGGAUAAUCAAAGCUAGAGUUUGACAACAUCCAAGUUGUGUUGCAAAUCCUUUUAUUUUAGAUACUUACCAGAUGAUGGAGGCAAACAGUUUUGCAAGAUUUGUUGGCUACCAGAUGCAGCCUUGAGAUCCCAGCCAUCCUUGUUAUCAAUGGCCAAAAGGCUGCAAAGACUCAGGAAGAAGCAAGAACGACCUUUCGCAUGAAGUCAUGCAGCAGUCCCUUACUGACAAAGUACAGAAGUGGUAGGAGACCGAAAGGAGGCUCUGCCAGCAGAAUGCGGAUCACCGGCAACAAACCAUGGAGUGGCUUCUAAGCAUUAUGGAUUCCCCAAGUGAACUUGAUGCAGGCGCUCAUUGCACUGCAUACGGAACAGAUCUGUGCUCCAACCCCCACCCCACAGCCCUUGUCCCAAAACUUUCUCUUGUGCCCCCUAUGACACCACCAAACUACUUUCCCCAACAUCUGGUUUAUCACCACCACCAGCUGCCUCCAACAUCUGUAGCUUCACCACCCAGCCCACAAACCAAGACCCUUACCCACUGCACUCAACCCCCAUCACCAUGCAUUUUAGCCAGCCUGAAGUGCAGCACUCACUUCAUGGCACAAAAGGCUGAAUAUGAUAACUGGACAUACACAAAUCUGUGAUUGUUCUGUUCCCCACCCUGCUCCCUUCCCUCCUCCUACACAGCACAGAUGUGUCAUGCUAUGUGUGUUUCCCCAGCAGUUGUUUCUUUUCAAUAAAUGAAUUUUUUGGUUUUGGAAA